CCAAACUUGGUCAUUUAGAGGAAGUAAAAGUCGUAACAAGGUUUCCGUAGGUGAACCUGCGGAAGGAUCAUUACCGAGUGCGGGCUUCUCGCCCAACCUCCCACCCGUGUUGACCUGUGACCGUGUUGCUUCGGCGGGCCUAUCAGGGCCUGUCCCUGAUCGCUGGGGGGCCCCGUGCCCCCGGGCGUGUGCCCGCCGGAGAACCUUUGAACCCUGUAUGAAUUGGGCGUCUGAGUAAAGAUUGAAUUCUUAAAACUUUCAACAACGGAUCUCUUGGUUCCGGCAUCGAUGAAGAACGCAGC
This 302-nucleotide unclassified non-coding RNA is filed under the name uncultured fungus. RNAcentral describes it as "partial contains small subunit ribosomal RNA, internal transcribed spacer 1, and 5.8S ribosomal RNA". The stretch from base 1 to 73 matches the Rfam family "Eukaryotic small subunit ribosomal RNA", at positions 1759 to 1831 of the family's 1831-position model. The record is from RNAcentral. Lineage: Eukaryota; Fungi.